Molecule: ribosomal RNA, 609 nt
Filed under: Caliciopsis pinea
Lineage: Eukaryota; Fungi; Ascomycota; Eurotiomycetes; Coryneliales; Coryneliaceae
Description: partial large subunit ribosomal RNA
Rfam family: Eukaryotic large subunit ribosomal RNA
Source: RNAcentral
UUUUGCAUAUCCAAUAGCGGAGGAAAAGAAACCAACAGGGAUUGCCUCAGUAACGGCGAGUGAAGCGGCAACAGCUCAAAUUUGAAAUCUGGCUCCUCUGGGGGUCCGAGUUGUAAUUUGUAGAGGAUGCUUUGGGCACGGCCACGGUCUAAGUUCUCUGGAACGAGACGUCAUAGAGGGUGAGAAUCCCGUCUGGGACCGCCGGCCACGCCCGUGUAAAGCUCCUUCGACGAGUCGAGUUGUUUGGGAAUGCAGCUCAAAAUGGGUGGUAAAUUUCAUCUAAAGCUAAAUAUUGGCCAGAGACCGAUAGCGCACAAGUAGAGUGAUCGAAAGAUGAAAAGCACUUUGAAAAGAGAGUUAAACAGCAUGUGAAAUUGUUGAAAGGGAAGCGCUUGCGACCAGACUCACCCGUGGCGGCUCACCCGGCGUUUUCGCCGGGGCACUCCACCGCGGUUGGGCCAGCAUCGGUUUGGGCGGUCGGUCAAAGGCCUCUGGAAUGUAUCAUCCCCCGGGAUGCCUUAUAGCCAGAGGUGCAAUGCGGCCUGCCUGGAUCGAGGAACGCGCUUCGGCACGGAUGCUGGCGUAAUGGUCGUAAGCGACCCGUCUUAA